AGCUCCAAUAGCGUAUAUUAAAGUUGUUGCGGUUAAAAAGCUCGUAGUUGGAUUUUGGGUCCACUUCCGGCGGGCCGGUGAAAGCCGCGAACUGCUAGAAUGGACCUUCUGUCUGGAGGGCGGGCACUUCCUAUUCGCUUAGUGGUGCUCGCCGUCUAGGACUUUUACUUUGAACAAAUUGGAGUGUUUAAAGCAGGCAAACGUCUUGAACACAUUAGCAUGGAAUAACCGAAUAGGGCUCUGGCUCUAUUUUGUUGGUUUUAAGGGCUGAAGCAAUGAUAAAUAGGGACAGUUGGGGGCAUUCGUAUUUAAUUGUCAGAGGUGAAAUUCUUAGAUUUAUGAAAGACGAACUUCUGCGAAAGCAUUUGCCAAGGAUGUUUUCAUUA
Molecule: ribosomal RNA, 386 nt
Filed under: Amastigomonas sp.
Lineage: Eukaryota; Apusomonadida; Apusomonadidae
Description: partial small subunit ribosomal RNA
Rfam family: Eukaryotic small subunit ribosomal RNA
Source: RNAcentral